CACUGGGGAAUAGCCUGAUAAAUUGCAGUCAUCUCCGCACCGCAGUGCAGAAGUGCAAGUUAUUCCUGGCAGAAAAGGGGAAAAGAUGCAAGCUGUGGAGUCUGUGACUGCAGAAGGGAAGAAGCUGUCGGAUCCCAUCUGUCGACCGGGAGGAUGAACGACCGCACGCAUCUCUGCUCUGCGCCAGCUCCCAGCCCGACUUCCAGGGGCUCAGCAUCUUCUUGGGCAACCCCAAUGGGCUGCAGUGGGGCCAGAGCCUCCCUGCAAGGUCCUUCCCAUGCCAGCCCCAGAGCGGUGGGAGUUGCUGGGUGUUGGGCCCAAAGGAGAGGGUCACACACCAUACCUCCCAGAUACAGGGCAGCUCCUGGGGUCCCGCAGUGCUAUUGGAGACAAAGGGAAGUGAAGCUAAAGAGCAGCACAGAGCAACAGCGGCUUGGAUGACACGGGUCAGUACUUCAGCACACGCAAGGCUGGUUUUUGAUGGUUUGGGAUUAAGAGCCUGCAAAUCGCAGCAUUCCACCAAGGCUGUCUCACUGGAAAAGAGCUGAGGUCAAGACCAGGAGGGACCCAGAGGUCAAAGUGCUGCCAAGAAAAAGGGCUAAACAAAGCCCAGGAUUUCUGCAGUCAAAAGCCCAGGCAUCUAAAGGCAGCAUUAAACUUGAAAUGAGAAACUGGAAAUCCUCUUUUGAUAUAUUCCUUCCCUUACUUUAAACAAGCUUUUCUUACUCACUGCACAGAUAAUGUGUGGACUUUGGACUUUCUUUUUGUAAUGUAUAAUGGAAAUUUAACGCAUCUGUGAGGAACCUGGGACUGUUUUAUAUCGCAUCCAUGGUGUUUUGGGGCCCUCCUGCAACUCAGAAUACAACAUCAAUGGCAAAGUGGGACUUUGUGUUCAAGAGAGGUGGACAUAACCUUCCCCAUCCCCAUGUCUACGUACUUGUAGGCAGCUAGAGGUGAAUACCCUGAAAUAAGAGGAGCCACAGCUCGCUUCCCCUUGUGCUAACACUAUCUCAGUCUGGUCUGCAGUGCUUUCCCACUGAUACAAGGACAACUUUAGUGCUGCUGGUGUCUCCAGGACAUCCCAAGAACCAGGAGGUGUUUUUUAAUGGGGAUUUGCCCUGAAGUACAGCCAAAAUCCUUUUUCUCACGGAUCAAACAGAUUCACGCAAUAGCUGCAGAAGGAGUUUGGACUCCAGGAGAUGACAAUACAGCACCCUGCGUGCAUUGCCAUGGAGUCCCACUCCUGGUUUCUGGAUGGCCGGACUACAACUGGCUCAGCCCAGUGCCAACUUAGAUGACAGUGAGGCAGAUCUGCAACUUUGUGAACGCAGCAAUUAGCCCCUGAGCCCGGGGAGAGUUUGUCAAGAUCCCAUCACAGGCAAACAAUAACACAGAAAUACAGCUUUGAGGGGGAGACAAUUUAUCAAGCUGACCACAGCUAUCUCCCUCAUUUUUUCUUCAAUAAAUCCAGCCUCGCUCUUGGCAGUGUACAGUAUCUUGUCAUUGCUUUCG
Gallus gallus (chicken) is the source of this 1512-nucleotide long non-coding RNA. The record is from Ensembl. NCBI's taxonomy places the organism in Eukaryota, Metazoa, Chordata, Aves, Galliformes, Phasianidae.